UACGUAGGGGGGCUAGCGUUGUCCGGAAUCAUUGGGCGUAAAGAGCGUGUAGGCGGUCCGGUAAGUCCGCUGUGAAAGUCGGGGGGCUCAACCCUCGAAUGCCGGUGGAUACUGUCGGGCUAGAGUGCGGAAGAGGCGAGUGGAAUUCCUGGUGUAGCGGUGAAAUGCGCAGAUAUCAGGAGGAACACCUAUUGCGAAGGCAGCUCGCUGGGACGUAACUGACGCUGAGACGCGAAAAGCGUGGGGAGCAAACAGG
RNAcentral lists this ribosomal RNA (256 nucleotides) under uncultured bacterium. RNAcentral describes it as "partial 16S ribosomal RNA". It matches the Rfam family "Bacterial small subunit ribosomal RNA", at positions 524 to 776 of the family's 1533-position model. The record is from RNAcentral.